Molecule: long non-coding RNA, 582 nt
Filed under: Monodelphis domestica (gray short-tailed opossum)
Lineage: Eukaryota; Metazoa; Chordata; Mammalia; Didelphimorphia; Didelphidae
Description: lncRNA (ENSMODG00000037838.1)
Source: RNAcentral
CUUAGAAUAAAAGAGUCUGUUUACUUGCUGAUGAAGAUCAUAAACCAAAAAGCUCUGAUUUCAUCUUAUUACAGAAGAAUGGCUACUUCUAUCACCAUGGAGGCUUUGCUGUCAUUGCCAAAAGCAUUUGGACCACUCAGAACUUGCUUUUGAAAAAUUUAUGAGAACCAUCAAAAUGCAUAGGAGGUGCAUCCUUGCAUUGCAGAAUGAAUACAGUUCCGGUGAGCCAGUCCUUCAGAGAUGCUUCUACUCCUUCUGUGGUUCCCAGAGAAAAGGAAGGACUUCUCCACCAUGACCCAGAACCUCAUUAUUGGAAAAGGCUCAUCAUUCUGCAACAGCCUAUCAGCCUUGGUACUCUACCUCAUCCUGACAUACUGUCCAUCUGAUUGGAGGGUAGACCCGGGAUCUCUAAAACGUCCAUUUAAGAGAGAUCAAGCUCUGAGACUUUCUGAAGAGGAUCAUCCUUCCUCACGAAGUCAAGAAGGAAUUAUAUACUGGAUGUUCAUGGCCACUCCUUAAGAAGUUCUCCUGACAAAAUUAAGAUGACAAUUGAAUUUCUUCUCAAGAAGAAUGACUUUUAUG